UACGUAGGGCGCAAGCGUUAUCCGGAAUUAUUGGGCGUAAAGAGCUCGUAGGCGGUGUGUCACGUCGGCCGUGAAAACCUGCAGCUUAACUGUGGGCGUGCGGUUGAUACGGGCAUCACUGGAGUUCGGCAGGGGAGACUGGAAUUCCUGAUGUAGCGGUGAAAUGCGCAGAUAUCAGGAGGAACACCGGUGGCGAAGGCGGGUCUCUGGGCCGAUACUGACGCUGAGGAGCGAAAGCGUGGGGAGCAAACAGG
This 254-nucleotide ribosomal RNA is filed under the name uncultured bacterium. RNAcentral describes it as "partial 16S ribosomal RNA". It matches the Rfam family "Bacterial small subunit ribosomal RNA", at positions 524 to 776 of the family's 1533-position model. The record is from RNAcentral.